UAUUAACUGUAAAGAUUACAUUAUUAAAUUCUAAAUUUAACGCACUAUUUCUGCCAAAUUAAU
RNAcentral lists this transfer RNA (63 nucleotides) under Oecleopsis sinicus. Its description in RNAcentral is "tRNA-Leu". Lineage: Eukaryota; Metazoa; Arthropoda; Insecta; Hemiptera; Cixiidae. The record is from RNAcentral.